Molecule: long non-coding RNA, 1044 nt
Filed under: Phaseolus vulgaris (common bean)
Lineage: Eukaryota; Viridiplantae; Streptophyta; Magnoliopsida; Fabales; Fabaceae
Description: long non-coding RNA (PVUL_LNC004494)
Source: RNAcentral
ACCCAUCUUCAUAUCCUGAUAUCCACAUUCUUAUAACACCACAUAAGCAAAAUCAUGAGCCCAAACAAACUAAUCCUAUGACAUUAAAGCACCAUUAACAUAACCAACAUUCAUAAGCCUUCAGCCCAAAGUGCAUCCUUUUCCGCUGCAAAAGCAAGAAAAACAACAUAAAAAAAUAGUCCUUGAACAGUUUGUUCUACCAUUCUCUUGACUCUCCUAACCGCUUCUAGACCCCUUAUUAAGUUGUUAUCUGGUGUUGCAUCUUGCUCGCUAUCUAGAAUAAUAGACAUGUUCAUAUCCCUUAUGCAUCAUAGCCCUUCUAACACCCAAUGUUUCCUAUAAGCUUUAUGUUCGUGCAAAACCAACACAAUGGCAACCUUCCAGCUUAAAGUUGUGAAUAGCAAUACCAACUCCCAAAAAGAAAUCUGCAUGAAAGCUUUAAGUCCAACACCAGACAAAACAAUAACAACCAAUAUAAGGCCCUUGCACAAGGUAAACAACCUUACCAAAUACAUCUAUAACUGGUUUGCAAUUCCUCCUUUCCCUAUAAAUCGUCCUUUCACUUUCCGCUAAGAUCAUUAUCAUGUGAAGACACUAUGCCUUUUCCUCUUUACACAUUCCUUGCACAUGCAACAAAAGAAGAUACCACAUCCAAGUAAGCAAUAUCUUACACGUAACCACUGCAGCCUAGCAGAUUAACCAACACCACAACAAACUAUAAAACUCAUAUAACAGUUUCACCACUUCUUCUACCCCCAAAACGGAAUGAAAUCCAAAAACUACCUCUAAGAAUUCUCUUCUAAUGGAUUUUAAGUGUUCUAUUAAUAGAAGAGGUCAUAGAGAGUGACGUUUCCUGUAGUGGUGAUGCGGCGGUGCGGUUCUGCUAGGAUUCUCUCUGCAACACAAGAAAUCAACCAAAAAACAGAAGGCAAAAAACAAAGAACAAAGGUAGAGUGAUAGGGAAAGGAACCCUAGAAGAUGAGAAGAGAUUAGAGAAACAGGGGCAGAGAAUAAGCGAGAGAAAGAUAGAAAGAAUCUUUUAUU